This 211-nucleotide long non-coding RNA is filed under the name Brassica rapa (field mustard). Its description in RNAcentral is "long non-coding RNA (BRAP_LNC003763)". The record is from RNAcentral. Lineage: Eukaryota; Viridiplantae; Streptophyta; Magnoliopsida; Brassicales; Brassicaceae.
AAAGAUAUACAAAAAAACGGAUUUGCAGAAGAUAAGCUAAACACAAGAACCUAAACCGAGAAAAAAGAACAAUAGAACUUUAAACAAACAAGACUACAACUAGAUCGUUGAAAGAUUCAAAGGAUACAUAGGCCAAGGCUGAAACAAGAAGCAAGAAUACCAUCCCCAAGAAGAUAGUUAAACCACAAGAACUCACCCAAAGACAACAGCA